GUUUUCUCAAAUAACAGAGAUACCUACCUUCACAAGCAACUUGGGAAAAUAUGAUGUUCCAAUCAAAUAUUUUGCAGAGGAGCCCCUCUUUGAUGUCUCUGGUGAUGAAAUUCAAGGCUUUAACCAUGAUUUUGAGGUGCAAGUGUUAGUCGAUGAUGCAUAUUUUGGUGUUACAAAGCAAUAUAUGAAUUCUGGUUUGGGGGACAAGGAUUUUCAUCGACAAUCUCAUCAUGAGCCACCAGAUCGCUGUCGAGAUAAAGGACACGCAUAUGUAGAUCUUGUUGCCAUACAUAAAGGACUAACCAAUAGUUCUCAGUUGACAUCAAGUGCCUGGUCGCUAAAAUUGAUUGUUUCUUAGCCAAUGUCUUAGAUGGCUCUAAGCUUUUGUGGCCACCAGGGACUCUAACAGUUUGGGCGCUUCUGCCAUUCCCGCUUAUGAUCUCACCUGUGGCGUUGCGAAUCUGCCUUGUCUCAUUCUCUAUCAUCAUCAACACAACGGUAAUGCAAUUUGCUAAGAUACUUGGGGAUAGGACCUUCGAUACUUUUGAGUAUUUACGUCUACGUCCAGUUGCUCUGCUUUUCAUAAGGUCAAAGGCUUUGUGGCCUUUUUCUCCCACAUUCAUAACUGUGUCUUUGGUGUUUGUUCAUACCUUUUCAUUACAAGUUGGGGUAUGCUAUGACGUUUGUAAGAAGGGAAUAGAAGUUGUGGUUUGUACCAAGUAUGGUUCUAAUUACACGUCCACAACAACAAUGGAGUGGACUGAUGUUGCUUGUGACCCAAGCAAGUGGGUGAUUUGUUCAUUCUUCCAUCAUGUCAUUCGUUUUGUGCAUGGAGCUGUUAUCCUUGGGUCACCAUCUUCUCUUCAAUGGUCUCUGCUGCUGUGCGAAAUAUUAAAGGACGUUGAUGAAUUUUUAGACACAAGAUCCGAGAGGCUUACGGUGUUGAUGGCAGUGGCCCUAAGUCAUGCUCAGCUGUGUCUUGUGCAACCGACAUGUCUUCUUUAUUGUUUUAUCCAGGAUUUAACAAGACUUCAGCUUAGACGAUGUGGUGAACGUCCUGACGAAUAGCAACCACACAUUUUGUUACUUGCGUACUCGUGAACAUGUUUUUCAGGAAGGCUAUUUGUUCUCAUGUGCUCUGUGGAAACACAACCUUAUUUUCUCCAGAGAAUUGACCAUUAACAAUGGGGACCUACAGCUAGUGCUAGUCGUGGCCUAUCAUGUUCAAGAAUCUCCUACAUUUUUAGUCGGACCACUCACUCUUGGGAUUGCUCCGGACUUCACAAAAAAUAGAGCGCAUGACAAGGAGUCUGAAGGUUCUUCCUGUCAGCUAAAGACGAGGAAGAUGGGACCACCGGAGAUUCUUGGAAAAAUCAAUGCAAACGGAUAUCGCCUUGCGUUGCACCCGCAUGUGCAUGUAGCUGACGUUUUUAACGUCAACCGUUUGUUCAAAUUUGAACCAGGUGAUGUGUUACUGUCCGGAUUCGUGGACGAAUCUCUCAAAGGGGGAGGGACCUGAUGCAGCGUAGCAUCCUAUUUCUAUUGGGUUUUAGUUUUAUAGUUUCCUUUUUAUUCUUGUUCUAAAUAAACAUUAUUAUUCUUAAAGAUAAUGAUUAAAGACUUUAGGAUAGAAGGUUAGAUCCUAAUCCUUAAGGACUUAGGUCUUUUCUUAUUAGUAUAAAUAGUGAGCUAUUGAUUUGUAAGAGUCACAAUUUUUGAAUUAUUGAUUAAUAAACUAGAGCUUUGGUAUUAACAAACUCUUGAAUCCUUACUUCCGGGCCUUCUCUAAGAAUUCAACGGCUUUAAGAAGGCUUAGAUAGCGGGUAUUCUCAGAAUUCAACGAUAUCUCUGCAUUAUCGGUUACUAGACGGUACUUCCGCUCCGUCACAAUGGCAGGGUGUGGCAACCGUGGCUCGACUCCACACGACUUUUCUGGUGAACUCAGUUUGCCAUAUAUGGGGAACACGAGCUUGGAACACACCUGACUUCUCCAGAAACAAUUGGUAUAAUUUCUAUAGAUAUACAUACAUGGGAAUAGUUUCAAUAAAUAAUAUUAAUAUUGAAAAUUAAUAAUGUGAUAAAUCAGGUGGGUAGCGAUUUUAACUCUUGGCGAGGGUUGGCAUAACAAUCAUCAUGCGUUCCAGUUCUCGGCUAGGCAUGGACUCGAGUGGUGGCAGCUCGACGUUACUUGGUAUCUCAUUAGGUUUCUCGAGGCUAUUGGUUUGGCCACUAACGUAAAGUUACCUACUGAAGCUCAAAAGAAAAGAAUGGCUUUGAUCUGAUCCUUAAUAGUUAAUUCCUUGCAUAAAUUAUAUUCUUGAAUUCAAAUAAUUCUCUCAAACUCUGCUCCUCCAGUCCUCCUACGUAUCCUACUACGAGUUAACCUAAAGUUCUUUUCAAUAGAUAGAGCUUUGUCUUUGAGGUGACUCUAUAUGAACACUAACAUUAUUAACGGCACAAAUUACCUAAGAAAUCGUGGGCUUUUUGCAAAUAUGAUUCAAAACUCAAAAUCAAACACAAAACUAAUCCAUGAUUAUUUUUUGGAAUUUUCAUUUACCAUAUUCACCCUACAAAUUUGGAUUAUUUACGAAAAUACCAUUAUUUUUUUUAUUUUUUUCGAAAAUAAGGUUUUUACCCUCUCAUCUUCAUCUUCUUAAAGUAUUUACAAUAUUGUCAUUGCCAUCAAUACACCAACCACCAUGAACAAUUAAUUUGAAGCUCUUAAUGCACCUAAAAAUCGAUUUUGACUCCUUCUAUCUCAUUUCUUAUGAACUAAAAACAAAAUCUCUUUCACUUUCUUUCUACAUUCAUCUAAAAAAAUCCAAGAUUUUGAUUCUAAAAAUUUGAAGGUUCAUAGAACCAAUCUCAUGAUUCGUGGUCAUUUACAAGUAGAUUGCUUUGGUGGUGAAGUAUUUUGUGGUUGGAGAAGCUAAACAAGUUAUCUCACUCGUCGAGAAGAUAAGUCUUCUGGUCAAUGCAUAUGUUAGUUUCACAAUUGACUUUAUGUGUGUCUUUUAGAGACGACUCUCUAGAAGUCUUACGAUUUUCUUUGUUUUCAAAAAAAUUACAGAAGACUUUUCGGUUUUUUUCGUCUAUGAUAAACAUGUUAGUUUUGCAUUUGACCGGAUUGUGUCAGAAAUUUAUCUUUUCCUAGACGGCUUACACAUAAGUCGUCCAACAGAAAAAUAAAAAAUAAAAAUGAAUUUUUACUAGACGACUUUCAAGUAAGUCGUUUCAGAUUAUUUUUGAAAUUGAAAAAUAAAACUUAAAUAGUUUUAAUUUUAUCCAGACGAUUUCCAUGUAAGUCUUCCGGUAAACGACUUACAAGGAAGUUUUUCAGGAUUUUAUUCCGAAAUUUUGGUCAAACAUUGGUUAUUACAGAAGAGUAGACUACUAGCUCUACCCUCUCAAACAACCCGCUGUGAAGUUCGCUUGAAACACAACAGCUUCGUCUAGUCACUGCCUCUUCGUGCUCCAGCACUUGGUCGUCAUCCUGAGUUCUUCGUCUUGAGUUCGAGUCCGAAAGUGUCCAACUUUGGGAGCGGUUUUAUCUUCCCACAACAUCACUCUAUCAGCCCGCUCCAACACUUCAACCUUAGUCUCACUCAAAUGGCCUUAUCCUAUCCAUAGCGGUUUCACCUAGUCGCUUUGCACGAUCGCUCUGAUGCUCCUUGCCACUGUGUACACCCGCUCCAACACUUCAACCUCAACUGAUGGUGUAAGAAAAGUAAGCUUUUUGAGCAGGUGAUCAUUCUUGCUCCAAGAAUCUGCUCCAAGACAAGCAUGAUAUUCAGCGACUUGUCCAACCUGCAAUGGUCUACUCGCUCCAAUGCUUGCACUUUCAGGGACAAUUCGACCAAAACUUCAAAUUUAAAUGUGUUUUCCUAUUGAUUUUAGAUUUAAACUAUUAAAUUAUCUUAUAACUUUUAAUUACAUUUUGAGUUUGUUUUUAGAUUUUUUAAAACAUUUUGAUUGCUGAAACAUUUUAUUUGAUAUGAUUUUUUUGGUAAAGAAUAUGUAUAUUAUUUACAAAAUAUUAUUAAAAUAAAUUUGUUUGAACCUAAUUGAACCCGGUCAAACAAUAUUAACUCAUGACCUGCAACUUUUUUGGUUCAGUUGUCGGUCCGGUUUUAAAAACAUUGAUGAGAGCAUUCGCAAAUAAGCCGCCUUAUAAAUUAAAAGCUUGACCUUUUCAACUUAAAUUUAUUUAUUAGAUAAUUAAAAGAUUCACAAAUACAUACAUAAUAAUGAAAAGCAACAAAUUACAUAAGUAAAAUGAUAAGAAAAAUAACCAAUUACAGUUUUUGCGAUCCUUGAGUCUUUAUCGCAUUAUGAACACCAAUUUUAUUUGUUGUAUUAUAUUCAUAUUGUUCAAAUUUAGAUAUAUAUAUAUAUAUAUAUAUGUAAAUUAUUUGGUUUAGAAUUCAAUGUAUUGAUUCAACUGUAAGUAAUAAAAAUUGACAAGGCCGAUUCUCAACGAUUGUAUGGAUAUCACAUACAACGAAGAGACUACAUCUUCUGUUAUGUGUUGUAGUCUCAUACGUAAAAUAUUUUGAUACCAAGUAUAUUGUAUCAAAAUAUAAAUUAUGAAUGCCUUGGACAACAUCAGACUUCUUCUCUCGAUAUUUAGAUCUUCUUCCGCUUUUUGAGUCCAUGACAUUUUUUUUGGUGGACGUUGUUUCCAUGGAAAAUCAAAUAAGAUUUGUUUUAAAGAUCGGAUAGUCAUCACAUAUUAACGAAAACCACUGGAAACGAACACAAAAUUAAAAAUAUGUGUUAGAUUUGUUAAGGACUCAGCAAAAAAAUUUGGAGAAAAUUCUGUGUAAUCGUUAGAAAUUACACAACGAAAGUUGAAGAAAUAAAUAUGAGAGAUGAAAAAUAAAUUGUAUAGAAACAGGGAUGCACACUUUAAUUUUGGUGGACGUUGUUUCCAUGGAAAAUCAAAUAAGAUUUGUUUUAAAGAUCGGAUAGUCAUCACAUAUUAACGAAAACCACCGGAAACGAACACAAAAUUAACAAUAUGUGUUAGAUUUGUUAAGGACUCAGCAAAAUUUGCCAGAGGAAAUUCUGUGUAAUCGUUAGAAAUUACACAAUGAAAGUUGAAGAAACAAACAUGAGAGAUGAAAAAAUAAAUUGUAUAGAAACACGGAUGCACACUUUAAUUUUGGUAUUGCAUUCACAAUCACCUUUUGAAUUUUUUUUGUGUGGAAUUACAUGUUUGAAAAAGAAAAA
Brassica napus (rape) is the source of this 5232-nucleotide long non-coding RNA. RefSeq lists it as uncharacterized. Lineage: Eukaryota; Viridiplantae; Streptophyta; Magnoliopsida; Brassicales; Brassicaceae. The transcript is spliced from 2 exons. The record is from RefSeq and is a predicted model, not a curated record.